GAUGAAUGCUGGCGGCGUGCCUAACACAUGCAAGUCGAGCGGCAGCGCGGGUAGUUUACUACCUAGCGGCGAGCGGCGGACGGCUGAGUAACGCGUGGGAACGUACCCCAAAGUGAGGAAUAACUGCCCGAAAGGGUGGCUAAUGCCGCAUAUGCUCUUCGGAGUAAAGCUUUAUGCGCUUUGGGAGCGGCCCGCGUCGGAUUAGGUUGUUGGUGAGGUAAUGGCUCACCAAGCCGACGAUCCGUAGCUGGUCUUAGAGGAUGAUCAGCCAGACUGGAACUGAGACACGGUCCAGACUCCUACGGGAGGCAGCAGUGAGGAAUCUUCCACAAUGGGCGAAAGCCUGAUGGAGCAACGCCGCGUGCAGGAUGAAGGCCUUCGGGUUGUAAACUGCUUUUAUAAGUGAAGAAUAUGACGGUAACUUAUGAAUAAGCACCGGCUAACUACGUGCCAGCCGCCGCUGUAA
RNAcentral lists this ribosomal RNA (466 nucleotides) under uncultured bacterium. RNAcentral's name for it is "partial 16S ribosomal RNA". It matches the Rfam family "Bacterial small subunit ribosomal RNA", at positions 28 to 523 of the family's 1533-position model. The record is from RNAcentral.